RNAcentral lists this ribosomal RNA (179 nucleotides) under uncultured soil bacterium. Its description in RNAcentral is "partial 16S ribosomal RNA". It matches the Rfam family "Bacterial small subunit ribosomal RNA", at positions 26 to 216 of the family's 1533-position model. The record is from RNAcentral.
AGCCUGAACGCUGGCGGCGUGGCUAAGACAUGCAAGUCGCACGGGGUAGCAAUACCCAGUGGCGAACGGGAGAGUAAUGAAUCGCUAACGUACCCCGGACUCUGGGGUAGCUAUCCGAAAGGGUAGGUAAUACCAGAUAACAUCACUUCCAGGCAUCUGGAGGUGCUCAAAGGUCCGCC